AUGCUACUGGUCGUUUACAGCUUACCCACCAGCCUGUGCCCCCACCGUGGAAAGUCAACACUAGGACAGAAGGCUUUAUCCACCUGCGUGUGGUCUGAGAUGGAAAACGCAGUUCACCUCACGGAGUUUGGAACUGCUUGCUACAGGGUCUACCACAGGAGAUAACAUGAAGACCUAGUCAGCCAGAGAAGACACUUCAAAGUUGGGGAGGGGAAGAGAGAGAAGACUGCUAAAAGGAGGUUCAAAAACAAGAAGAUCAACAUUGUCUAAUUCAAAUCUUCCUUGGACCUGCCAACUGCACAUAUCUCCUCAAGCCUAAAGAAGAGUCAGACAAUACAUUUCUCUGCCUUUCAUUACAACUACAAUAAUGGUUUCCAUUUACAAGUGAGAUUGCUAACUACUCAAGAGUAAGGAUGGUUUCUUAUAGAAAGUCUAAGGAUCUGUACUGACUAAUAGUUGUCAGUUUGGCUCCAUUUUGAUACCGUGUUGUGCUUUUUUACACAUUUUAUCUUCCAACCUUUGUCCUAUGACAAAAGUACCUUAACGAGUUCCAGUUUAUUAAUGAAAACCAGGCUAAGGGAAGCUAAGUGAAUAGAUGGUCAACUGAGCUAGUAAUGGCAAAGUGGGCAUUCACACCCAGGUAGGCUGACCCAGCUCCCGCUCAUAACCAUGACACCAUCCUGCAUUUAUAAAUGUCUGUUGUUGGUGAUGGUUAUGCAGUUGAUGAUUGCUUUGUUCUUUCAAAAACCAAUAUACACAAUGGUUUUCAUUCUGUUCCUUGAAAAGAAAUGGCUGUGUAAAGAAUUUAAAAAGUCCAAAUAAAUCAACCCUGCACAAACUACUACCA
Molecule: long non-coding RNA, 847 nt
Filed under: Vulpes vulpes (red fox)
Lineage: Eukaryota; Metazoa; Chordata; Mammalia; Carnivora; Canidae
Description: lncRNA (ENSVVUG00000009781.1)
Source: RNAcentral